UGGAAGUCUAUGAGCUUCCUGGUUCAUUCAGGACAAGAACCUGCAGCAGGAUUACCUGGACGCCCUGACUAUCCUGACAAACAUCCUGAGCAGCCAGCAGCACUUGGCCUGUGGAUUCAGUUUCCCCCAGAAACUGUCAGUAAUAAACCUAAUGGUGGAGCUGAUCAGCGAGGAGCCAUUGGACUCCAUCUCCAGCCCCAUGAGACAGAAGGCAAUGAACAUCAUCGCUGACUUCAGGAUGCUGGGGCCCCUCUUAGAGGUGGAACAAGGAACAGAGCUGCUCCGAUUGUGCUUCAGGAGUGUGUUCUGCCUGCCACCUGCAGACGUGUUGCAAAAGAACGCAUA
This is a long non-coding RNA of Phyllostomus discolor (pale spear-nosed bat), 345 nucleotides long. RefSeq lists it as uncharacterized. NCBI's taxonomy places the organism in Eukaryota, Metazoa, Chordata, Mammalia, Chiroptera, Phyllostomidae. The record is from RefSeq and is a predicted model, not a curated record. The transcript is spliced from 3 exons.